Molecule: transfer RNA, 69 nt
Filed under: Pegasus laternarius
Lineage: Eukaryota; Metazoa; Chordata; Actinopteri; Syngnathiformes; Pegasidae
Description: tRNA-Pro
Rfam family: tRNA
About the family: Transfer RNA (tRNA) molecules are approximately 80 nucleotides in length. Their secondary structure includes four short double-helical elements and three loops (D, anti-codon, and T loops). Further hydrogen bonds mediate the characteristic L-shaped molecular structure. tRNAs have two regions of fundamental functional importance: the anti-codon, which is responsible for specific mRNA codon recognition, and the 3' end, to which the tRNAs corresponding amino acid is attached (by aminoacyl-tRNA synthetases). tRNAs cope with the degeneracy of the genetic code in two manners: having more than one tRNA (with a specific anti-codon) for a particular amino acid; and 'wobble' base-pairing, i.e. permitting non-standard base-pairing at the 3rd anti-codon position.
Source: RNAcentral
UAAAGAAUAGUUUAUUUAGAAUUCUGGCUUUGGGGGCCAGAGGUGGGGGUUAAAAUCCUUCUUCUUUAA